GCGGACGUGGCGGAAUUGGCAGACGCGCUAGAUUCAGGUUCUAGUGAACGCGAGUUCAUGUGGGUUCAAGUCCCGUCGUCCGCACCA
This 87-nucleotide transfer RNA is filed under the name Clostridia bacterium. Its description in RNAcentral is "tRNA-Leu". It matches the Rfam family "tRNA". From Rfam's summary of the family: Transfer RNA (tRNA) molecules are approximately 80 nucleotides in length. Their secondary structure includes four short double-helical elements and three loops (D, anti-codon, and T loops). The record is from RNAcentral. Lineage: Bacteria; Bacillati; Bacillota; Clostridia.